RNAcentral lists this long non-coding RNA (1660 nucleotides) under Toxoplasma gondii VEG. The record is from RNAcentral. Lineage: Eukaryota; Apicomplexa; Conoidasida; Eucoccidiorida; Sarcocystidae.
UGGCAGUUCUGGUGUCGACGAAUUGAACAAUGGACUCAUUCUCAGGCAUCGGGCCGACGUACAGAAGCAACACGGGGAGAAAUACGAACCCGAAUCCGAAGGAAAAGGUAAGGACCUGAGACGGAAAAAAAGCAGAGGAACGUGCAAAGUGAGAGGGAUAACUGCCGUGUUCUGUUGCAGACACAGUAGGUUGAUACAGCGAACAGAAGGUGGCAUCUAGGGAGGCAGAACGCAAAACAAUUACGCUCGUCGAUCUGGAUCGAAUGAGGAACGGAGCGGUUCUGAGAGGAAAGUGGACGGUGAUUCAAAGUCGGCGAGCCGAAGGAUUGAAGCUGCAACAAUACACAGGCAACCCGAUGUGUGCGAGAGAAUGGAAUGUGGUUUCCGACAGAAGAAACACAGCGUCUUUGUAGAGGAGGGACAGAGAAACGCGACAGAAGGACAGAAGACCCAUUCGGGAUAAUCACCAAAGCAAAGCGAAGAAGCCGUUGCCUGAACAUUUCCGUAAGAGAAACGAGCGACUGGGGGAUCCUCGGCUCCUGAACGAAGUGGGGACCGUGGAUUCUUAGGACUACAAGAACGCGAUCGCCGGCAGAAUGUGUCGUCCGGCAGAAGAGAGGGAAGGAUUUGAAAGGCAUUCGAUACCGGCAAGAAACGCCGUUUUCCUACCAAGAUCAUCAUUUUGAAAAAGACUGCCAGAACGAAUUUGUCGGAGCCCAUAAGAAAGAAGACAGCAAGCAGGGUCGAAAGCAUCCCGUUCGCAAUGGCGUUUCCCAUUAAAACCAUAGUCUCCUUCAUUCGGUCUCUCCGUGUCUGUCCGCAGCAGUGUGUGAAAGCGUUCAGAACGUGUGUCGUGCUGUCAACACUGUAACCUAGAAACAAGAGAAACACGGCGGGAAGGCGCGAAGGUUCGCUUUCCUUGAAGAACAGCCGGGAAGAAAGAAGGCAGCCAAAUACGGAUCGGAGAGAGAAAAACGAAAAACAGAUACAUGGGAGAGCAAAGCAAAGACACAGCAAUGAUACCGAAAUAGAGGGACCGACAGACAUAUAGACACAUAUAGACGUAACACAAACACAGCCACACGUGCAAGGCGAAGCCAGAGAGGCCGACACGGACAACAAGGCAGCUUUUGUCUCGCAAGUUUUCGAAUGCCCUCCCUGGCUCUUGCACACUUACCAAUUGCAAGAAGCAGAAUCACCAUGGUGAGCAUGUUGAGGCGCAGGCCCCAGAUGGCCAUAAACCCAAAGAGUGCCAUAUCCACGAAGAAGACUGUGACAGCCACGAUGAUCAUGGAUAAGAAGUUGGGAAUCAGUAAAACAGUCAUCUGCGCAGGACGAAGGAGAGGCAGAACACACAAGGAAAGAAACUGUGGCCCGACAACAGCAAUACCGGUGAUUUCAGAAGAAUGGACGGGGUUUUGAAACGAUGAUUCCACCGCGGUGAGGUCGACAUGAGUGAGGCUCUGACCCCCAGCGUCAACCACUUAAGCUGCUUGACACUUUCGAUCACAAGCGACACGCGCAGCCCUCAGCAGAACAGUUGCAUGGGGAGACAGUAUUCAGCAUUUGCCAAGUCACGGAGCACAGAGAACAUGUGCAACAGAUGCAGAUGAAUACAAAAACAGUAGAUAUGGAUGUGCACAGGCAUACCUGUAGAGGC